Molecule: ribosomal RNA, 449 nt
Filed under: uncultured bacterium
Lineage: Bacteria
Description: bacterial SSU rRNA
Rfam family: Bacterial small subunit ribosomal RNA
Source: RNAcentral
GACCAGACUCCUACGGGAGGCAGCAGUGGGGAAUAUUGCACAAUGGGGGAAACCCUGAUGCAGCGACGCCGCGUGAGUGAAGAAGUAUUUCGGUAUGUAAAGCUCUAUCAGCAGGGAAGAAAAUGACGGUACCUGAUUAAGAAGCCCCGGCUAACUACGUGCCAGCAGCCGCGGUAAUACGUAGGGGGCAAGCGUUAUCCGGAUUUACUGGGUGUAAAGGGAGCGUAGACGGCAGUGCAAGUCCGGAGUGAAAGCCCGGGGCUCAACCCUGGGACUGCUCUGGAAACUGUAAAGCUGGAGUGCGGGAGGGGCAGGCGGAAUUCCUGGUGUAGCGGUGAAAUGCGUAGAUAUCAGGAGGAACACCGGCGGUGAAGGCGGCCUGCUGGACCGUAACUGACGUUGAGGCUCGAAAGCGUGGGGAGCAAACAGGAUUAGAUACCCCCGUAACG